UGAGUGUUGGCCAGGAUUUGGAGAGAUUGGAAUACUUACACACUGCUAACAGAAAUGCAAUACGGUGCAGUCUCUGGAAAACAGUCUGGCAGUUUCCUCAAAAAGUUAAAUAUAGAGUUUUUAUAUGAGCCAGCAAUUGUACUACUAGGUAUAUACCCAAGAGAAUUGAAAACAUAUAUUCACACAAAAAAUAUGUACAGGAAUGUCCAUAGCAACACAUUUGAAAUAGCUAGAAAGCAGAAACAAACCAAAUGCCUAUCAGCUGAUGACUGAAUAAAUAAAAGAUGGUAUAUCCAUAUAAUGAAAUAUUACUCAGCAGUGAAAAGGAAUAAAGUACUGAUAGAUGAUACAACAUGGACAAAUUUUGAAAAUGUUAUGGUAAGCGGAAGAAGCCAGGCAUAAAAUACUACAUGCUUUAUGGUUCCCUUCAUAUGAACUGUCCAGAACAGGCAAAUGUAUAUGGACAGAAAGUAGAUGAGCAGUUGCUAGAGUUGAGGGAUGGCAAGUAGGGGAAAUGGUGAGCAACUGCUAAUGGGUACAGGGUUUCUUUUAGAAGUGAUAAAAUGUCCUGAAAUUGAUUAUGGUGAUGGUUGCUAAACUCUGUGAAUAUACCAAAACACAGCAAAUUAUACAUAUUAGAUGGAUGAAUUGUAUGGUAUGUGAAUUAUGUCUUAGUGAAGCUGUUGUUUUUUUUUAAAUCUCACGCUUCCCAGGCAGCUGGAGUUUCUUCUAACUGGGCUGUGGAGUACAUGACAUGGAAGGCAAUGUGGUUAAAGGCAUGCGUUUCAGAAUCAGACUCCCCUGGGUUCCAACGCUGGCUCUGCCUUUUAUUGUCUGUAUAAACUUGGGCAACUCUGUGAACUUGUGAAAAUAUUUGUCAUAAUAUAGUCUUUGUGACUUUGUGCAGAUGAAAUGAGAUGAUGCAGGUAAAAGGUUUAUCACAGUAUUCAACUUGCAAGUGCUUAAAAGGAAGCUACUGACUUCAUCACCUACGUGAACUUGGAAAGUUUACUUAUGAAGUAAGUCAUUUAUUCUGUUACAUAUUAUUUCUGUCUUCUUCCAUUUCUUGUGUUUCCACCACCAAAUCAAAAUAGGAAUCAGAAGUUCGCAUGCAUUUAUCUCUACUGACUUCAAAAGAAGAGGGUAAAAAAGUUGUCCUAGUUUAGGGAUGCAAAUGAUUUAGCAGUGGCAGGAUGCCCUGAGUGCGCAUUACCAGGCUUUGGAGUUUAUGUCAUCAGGCAUGGGGCGAAAUGGUAGCUUUUGAGGCAUAAAAGAGGAGCAUAAGUUCUGUCCUAUUAAAGAGAUCAAUUGUCCAGUGUGUCCAAUAUUCUGUCUUCCACUCUGGCCAAGACAGAUGCUUCAGAGAAGGACAUAAAAUCCAUUAACAUACUUAAUUACACACUCUUGUAUUAUGGGAGAUACAUUACUGUCCCAAACCCAGCCUGUCCUUGCCUAAAUAUCCAACAUCCAUUAUCUUCAAGGUAGCUUACAGAUUUAAACUAAUUAAUCUCUUUUUCUCCAAGAGGCUUUUUCUUACCAGGGGGAUGAGAGGGCUGGUUACCUGCUGCCUGCCCCCAUCUGUGAGCUACUGCGCUGAUGCCUGAUUGUCACCUUGUGCCUGUUUGACCUUAUGCUCAGUGGGCAUUUGGAACUCCUGCACCAUCAAUCAUUUGUUGAAGACCAACUGUAUGCCAGGAAAGGUGCCAGACAUUGGGGCAAAAGGAAGACUAGGAUUUUGUUCCUUUAUGAGAGGAACUCUAAGUCUACUAUGGAGCUAACUGUCAGGCCUCUGAGCCCAGGCCAGGCCAUCGCAUCCCCUGUGACUUGCACGUAUACAUCCAGAUGGCCUAAAGUAACUGAAGAUCCACAAAAGAAGUAAAAACAGCCUUAACUGAUGACAUUCCACCAUUGUGAUUUGUUCCUGCCCCACUCUAACUGAUCAAUGUACUUUGUAAUCUCCCCCACCCUUAAGAAGGUACUUUGUAGUCUCCCCC
Long non-coding RNA from Homo sapiens (human), 1994 nucleotides. Lineage: Eukaryota; Metazoa; Chordata; Mammalia; Primates; Hominidae. The record is from Ensembl.